This 1409-nucleotide ribosomal RNA is filed under the name Brassica rapa (field mustard). RNAcentral describes it as "SSU rRNA". The stretch from base 175 to 1409 matches the Rfam family "Eukaryotic small subunit ribosomal RNA". The record is from RNAcentral. Lineage: Eukaryota; Viridiplantae; Streptophyta; Magnoliopsida; Brassicales; Brassicaceae.
AUUCCGAUUACUCAUCCCCUCUUCUACUAUGCAGGUAACCCAUAGGUAGGAAGCUUAGGGCGCAGCGGAACGGAUAGCGGCCGGUGUAGAUUGGAAGUGGCAUAAGCAUAAGCGGACUAUCUUUUGGAAUGUAUAAUUACAUUCUUUUCAUUUUGACACUAGGCCGUGAGCUCAAACUCUGAUAUUUUGUAUUGUAAUGUUUUGUAAAACGCUUUCUACCUAUUAUUAAUAAAAUGUAUGUUUAUAUUCGUAGUUGUGUGUUAAAUGAUACUAGACCUUGUCCGGGUCGACACAACUCGAUGAUUGAGGUACGGGUUGUGAAGCCUUAGGCCAUGACAUCAAGGUCAUAGCAAACUGGAACGGAUUGGUCGAGAGUCUUGACUUGUUCUUGAUUCUUGGUCGAACAGGUACGGUGAGCUAUACUUGUGGCGCUCCCAGGACGUACCGGGUUAGUCCGGCCUGGUACGGUCCGGGGGUGUUACAGUCGGGGGCAUUCGUAUUUCAUAGUCAAAGGUGAAAUUCUUGGAUUUAUGAAAGGGGAACAACUGCGAAAGCAUUUGCCAAUGAUGUUUUCAUUAAUCAAGAACGAAAGUUGGGGGCUCGAAGACUAUCAGAUACCGUCCUAGUCUCAACCAUAAACGAUGCCGACCAGGGAUCAGCGGAUGUUGCUUUUAGGACUCUGCUGGCACCUUAUGAGAAAUCAAAGUUUUUGGGUUUCGGGGGGAGUGUGGUUGCAAGGCUGAAACUUAAAGGAAUUGACGGAAGCGCACCACCAGGAGUGGAGCCUGCGGCUUAAUUUGACUCAACACGGGGAAACUUACCAGGUCCAGACAUAGUAAGGAUUGACAGACUGAGAGCUCUUUCUUGAUUCUAUGGGUGGUGGUGCAUGGCCGUUCUUAGUUGGUGGAGCGAUUUGUCCGGUUAAUUCUGUUAACGAACGAGACUUCAGCCUGCUAACUAGCUACGUGGAGGCAUCCCUUCACGGCCGGCUUCUUAGAGGGACUAUGGCCGUUUAAAACAAGGAAGUUUGAGGCAAUAACAGGUCUGUGAUGCCCUUAGAUAUUAUGGGCCGCACGCGCGCUACACUGAUGUAUUCAACGAGUUCACACCUUGGCCGACAGGCCCGGGUAAUCUUUGGAAAUUCAUCCUGAUGGGGAUAGAUCAUUGCAAUUGUUGGUCUUCAACGAGGAAUUCCUAGUAAGAGCGAGUCAUCAGCUCGCGUUGACUACGUCCCUGCCCUUUGUACACAACGCCCAUCGCUCCUACCGAUUGACUGAUCCGGUGAAGUGUUCGGAUCGCGGCGACGUGGGUGGUUUGCCAUUAUCGCGACGUCCGGGAAGUACACUAAACCUUUUCAUUUAGAGGAAGGAGAAGUCGUAACAAGGUUUCCAUAGGUGAACCUGCAGAAG